AACACGGGAUCCUUAACCCACUGAGUGGAGUCAGGAAUCAAACCUGCAUCCUCAUGGAUGCUAGGCAGGUUCAUUACUGCCGAGCCACAAUGGGAACUCCCCAUUGGAAGAUUUUAAGCAGAGGUGUGGUGACCUAAGAUCAUUUGGCUGCUGUGUUGGGGACGGUCUGAAGGGAGCAGAUGAGAAAGCAGAGAAGCUAGUUUUUGUAAACUUUUAUAAAACUCCCAGAGAAUAUAAAAUAGAUAAUCAGCAAGGACCCACUGUGUAGCACAGAGAACUCUACUCAAUAUUCUGUAACAACUUAUACGGGGAACAAAUCUGGAAAAGAAUUGGUAUAUGUAUGUGUAUAACGGAAUCACUUUAUCCUGGAAGCUAACACAACAUUGUCAAUCAACUAUUCUCCAUGUAUGAUAAGCUUACAUUAAAAAAGAAAGGGGGGAAAGCCCCCCCCCCCCAGAUGGACGUGGCCUGGACCAGCUCGGAGCAGCGGACGAGUCCUCCUGGAAUUUGAAGACGGAGCAGACGGACUUGCUGCCAGGUGGGGGCCGAGUGCGAGGCGGAGGUGAGAUGAGGGGGCCUUCGGGCUUUCAGUCUGGCCCCCGGAGCAGCGCGCUGCCCUUAACUUGGCCGGACAGCGUCCCGUCCCGGAGGAAGGCGUUUAGAGAGAUCAGGGCCGGACUGGAGGAGCUGAGGCGCUGCUCAAGGAGACGCCAAGGUCGUUGAAUAGUCAGGUCUGGCCUCGGGGCAGAGGCUGGGCCCUCGCAGCCACCCAGCGGGCAGGGGCCCCGCCAGGGAGGGUCGGGGGGAAGCCGGCCCAGCCUCCGAGGCCGAGGGGCGGACGGCGCCAGAGGGAACCACGUGCGCCUGACUCCUGGAAGCCAAGCGAAGGGAUCGGUUUCAGCAGGAGGCGAGCCCGCGGGAGAGCGUGGCCUGCGGGUCUGGGCGCGUAUUCAGAGAGCCACCCGUUGUUCGUGGCCGUCCAAGGUCUUGGGAGCAGGACUGGAGCGGAUUCGGGAAAGAAGGGAGGGCGGGGCUGGGACAGCUAAGAGGGACCGUAAAAAAGGCGGGAGAGAUGAAAAUAUGGAUGCUGAUGGCCAGUGUUCUUCGCCUUUGCAGGGUGGGCCCUCGCCUUCUCACCACCCCCUUCCUCGGCCUUCAGCUCUGGGUCUUUGCUGUUGCUUGGACCCCUCAUUUGGAGCAGGGUUAAUGGGAAGUCUGAGCGGAUGGGGUGCUGAGGACUGAAAAUCAACUACUUUGGGGAACAAGACACACUUUUAGAUGUGGCCGAGGGUCCUUGGGCUUGGAGGAAUUGCCUCUCUGCCUCGUUUAUUUCGAUGGUUCUUCCCCUUGUAUUUUGGUGUCUAACACCCCCCCCCCCCCGAGAGUCUCCUUCCUCUGUUUCUGUGCAAUGAUGAAUUCUUCACUGAUUCUGUGGAACUGCCGUUUCAGAGGCAUGACCAUGACCAAAGCCUUAACGUCUUAAAAGCCUUAAUGAGGAGUUCCCACUGUGGCACAGUGGACUGGCGGUGUGAUCCCUGUGGCACCAGGACGCGGGUGUGAUCCCCAGUCUGGCACAGUGGGUUAAAGGAUCUGGCGUUGGUGCAGCUGCGGUGUAGGUCACAGCUGUGGCUCUCGGAUCUGAUCCGUAGCCUGGGAAUUCCAUAGGCUGUGGGGCAGCCAAAACAAAAAAGAGAGAGAGAAAAGUGCUUAAAAAAAAAAAAAAGACUUAAUGAGUGAAUUAUAUCUCAAUAAAGAUAUAAUUGACAUCCCGCCUCCAAACCUCCUAAAAUGCGACAGUGUGACUCCCGUGGUGGUGAGUUACCAGGCUGUCCCAAAUGUUUCUCCCAUUCUGGGAACAUGGCGGGAGUGACAGUCUGGAGUAUGGCCACGAGUGACACGGAGUGGGUGUGUGUCUGCGGCCACCAAUGAAGCAAGCGAGGUUUGUCACUCUGGCAGCUUUCAGACCCAUGAACUGUCUCCCACAUUUUCUAGACUGUCGACAAGUGUGGACGCUGCCUUUAAAAGGAAGCCUCUGAAAAAACUAAACAAACAAACAAAACACAAAGAAAUAAAAAGAAAAAAGAAAAAAAAAAAAAAGAAGCCUCUGUCAGCCAGAGUCUGAGUCACAGCGAUGAGCGGAGGCUAACCUGGGGGUAGACGUGGAGCAUGGGAAAUAAGCUUUCGUUUUGUUAGUUUAAUUUUGGGAUAGAAAAACCCGAUCUGUCCUGAUAGAAUGCCUAAGGUCAAAAAUAGGCAGUGAUGUGCCAGUCUCCGUGAGCGCCAAGAGACUGCACGUUUUAGGAUAUGCAAGUUUUACUUCUCCACGCCAGGGGCAAAGAAAACCCAGUAAAUAACCCAGGUAGUAAAACUUGACCCCACUGUCACUUCUUCACUAAAUCAAAACCUAAUGAACCUUGAAAACAUUAACACUGUUUUUGAAAUAUUUCUCUCCUAACCAGGAGGGAAACUUUUUUUCGAGAGACACAGCCGGACCACCAGAAACGUAGCAUGGUGUAUUUCCUAUUUUGUUCUCUGGGCCCUCUGCUUUAGCUGCUCCAGGAAGCUCACUCCAAAUGCAGAUUCUCUGGUCUCGACUGUCACAGUCUGUGCACGCGGGUUGGAAGAAGAAUUUCUGGACUUGUAUUGGGGUGAAAAGAAAGAAGAGCUUAUUGAGCAUGGUGAGGUGGAGAGAGGGUAGAGCUGAAUGAGAUGAGAGGCACUGCAGGUGCAGCAGGACUUCCUGAGGAUCAGAGUGACACGGAGCAGGAAUCGAACUGGACUAUAGGACCCCAGUUGGUGUCCAGAGAAUCAGAGAAUUGGCUGUUACUGUUGGAAAGUACUCCGGGAAUGUGCUAUGGCACUGAAGGUCCUUUCCAACAUAUACCAUCGGAUUGAGCGCACACUCUUCAGGAGGCGUGAAGACGUGUCCGUGUAAGAGACAAGAAAAUCAUCUGCAUAAAAGAUUUUUAUUUAGUGGUCGGGUCCCAAUGAGUAAUGCCAGUCAUUGCUUGAUUCUGUUAAAAGGUGCUAUUCGAUACAGUCUUAAGAAAGUGUACAGUGCAUCACCAAAAGCUAUUUAACUUGGAUUGUGUAGAGUAAAAGAAAACUUCAUACAUCUUUGUUCUCUGAUAAAAUUUUUAAAAUACAAAAAUGAAAAAAAA
Molecule: non-coding RNA, 3161 nt
Organism: Sus scrofa (pig)
Lineage: Eukaryota; Metazoa; Chordata; Mammalia; Artiodactyla; Suidae
Source: RefSeq, a predicted model, not a curated record